GAUGAAGAACGUAGCGAAAUGCGAUAAGUAAUGUGAAUUGCAGAAUUCAGUGAAUCAUCGAAUCUUUGAACGCACAUUGCGCCCGCCAGUAUUCUGGCGGGCAUGCCUGUUCGAGCGUCAUUUCAACCAUCAAGCCCUGCUUGCGUUGGGGUCCUGCGGCUGCCCGCAGGCCCUGAAAACCAGUGGCGGGCUCGCUAGUCACACCGAGCGCAGUAAUACAUCUCGCUUUGGGCGUGCGGCGGGUUCUUGCCGUUAAACACCCCCUUCUUACCAAGAUUGACCUCGGAUCAGGUAGGAAUACCCGCUGAACUUAAGCAUAUCAAUAAGCGGAGGA
This 334-nucleotide unclassified non-coding RNA is filed under the name soil metagenome. RNAcentral's name for it is "partial contains 5.8S ribosomal RNA, internal transcribed spacer 2, and large subunit ribosomal RNA". The stretch from base 1 to 120 matches the Rfam family "5.8S ribosomal RNA", at positions 35 to 154 of the family's 154-position model. The record is from RNAcentral.